GAGGGUAUAGCUCAGUGGUAGAGCGCAUGCUUAGCAUACACAAGGUCCUGGGUUCAAUCCCCGGUACCUCUU
Molecule: transfer RNA, 72 nt
Filed under: Camelus ferus (Wild Bactrian camel)
Lineage: Eukaryota; Metazoa; Chordata; Mammalia; Artiodactyla; Camelidae
Rfam family: tRNA
About the family: Transfer RNA (tRNA) molecules are approximately 80 nucleotides in length. Their secondary structure includes four short double-helical elements and three loops (D, anti-codon, and T loops).
Source: Rfam by way of RNAcentral